UUCAGAGUAUUUUAUUAAAUUAUGUUUUUGUAUUUCAAGUAUAUGGUUCAGUGUUUUAUGCAUAAUUGCUACUUUACUUUUGAGUUUUCUGUCCUAAAGGCUUCGUUAAAGAAGAGAGAAAGAGACAGAGAAAGAGGCGAGAAGGGAAAUGUUAUAUUUGGAGCAUGUGCAGUAAUGGCUACUAAAUAUGAAGGAGAAUAAAAGAGAAAAGAAAGACAACCUAUUGAAAUUCAAAUUAUUUCUACUGAAUCUUAAGAUCCGCCCACGUACAUUAUUUUUUGCAUUGAACCAUCAUAUAGCGCUUUUAUUUUUAUUUUUUUAAAGUGUUACCUUAUCCUUUCUUAUAAAUUAGAGAUGUUUUAAAAUUGAAGAUAAUUACUUCCUACACGUAAUCAGUAGGGGUAUGUUAAUCUAGUCAUUCAUGUCCAACAAUAAACUUUACAAAGUCGUUUUUCCUGGCUGAUUUAGGCAACCCAUUCCAUGUUCUAUUACAGCGGUUCUCAACCUUUUAUCCUCGGUGACCCCUAUUUACAACCCCCCACUAUGCUGCGACCCCAACCCCCACAGCUUUAGAAGAAUAGACAAAAUACAAUCCAUAUUUUCAAUGGUCUUAGGCGGCCCCUGACAAAUCGUCAAUCGACUCUGCAAGGUGUCGCGACCCACAGGUUGAGAACCCCUGUUCUAACAGCACUAGGGAAGAAGGAGCACUUGAAUGAAUUUAUCCUCGCACACGGAAUAGUAAGUGUAUUUCCUUGUUCGCGUCUUUCUGAGAAUAAAACGAGAUGUUGUUUUUGUAUUAGUAGGUUAUGCUUCAGUGUUGUAUGUUUUAUUGCCUGGAGUGCACUGCAGUCACUGACCUAUGAGAUCAUCAUUAGCCUCCUCCAGUCUUAGAACGACUAUGUUUCAUCUCAGAGAGUGAGAUGAAAGCCUGGGCAUUGUUUAUGGUCGGAACGAUGUCGCCCACAGAGCAGUUCCCCCCCCCCCCCU
Biomphalaria pfeifferi is the source of this 987-nucleotide non-coding RNA. Lineage: Eukaryota; Metazoa; Mollusca; Gastropoda; Planorbidae. The record is from the annotation of a GenBank genome assembly.